Small nucleolar RNA from Jaculus jaculus (lesser Egyptian jerboa), 129 nucleotides. Lineage: Eukaryota; Metazoa; Chordata; Mammalia; Rodentia; Dipodidae. The record is from Ensembl.
AGACUCUCAUUGCUUACCACAGGCUGUGUUCUUAUACUGACAUAGAAAGAGGAGACAAAGUGAACCUACCCCAUGUACCCCCUGCCUAGACCACUGUGUCUGGUCUGUAUUAUGAAUGGGGAGACAUAG